RNAcentral lists this ribosomal RNA (468 nucleotides) under uncultured bacterium. Its description in RNAcentral is "partial 16S ribosomal RNA". It matches the Rfam family "Bacterial small subunit ribosomal RNA", at positions 28 to 507 of the family's 1533-position model. The record is from RNAcentral.
GACGAACGCUGGCGGCGUGCUUAACACAUGCAAGUCGAACGGAAAGGCCCUGCUUUUGUGGGGUGCUCGAGUGGCGAACGGGUGAGUAACACGUGAGUAACCUGCCCUUGACUUUGGGAUAACUUCAGGAAACUGUGGCUAAUACCGGAUAGUAGCUCCUGCUGCAUGGUGGGGGUUGGAAAGUUUCGGCGGUUGGGGAUGGACUCGCGGCUUAUCAGCUUGUUGGUGGGGUAGUGGCUUACCAAGGCUUUGACGGGUAGCCGGCAUGGGAGGGUGACCGGCCACAUUGGGACUGAGAUACGGCCAAGACUCCUAGGGGAGGCAGCAGUGGGGAAUAUUGAACAAUGGGCGGAAGCCUGAUGCAGCAACGCGGCGUGCGGGAUGACGGCCUUCGGGUUGUAAACCGCUUUCGCAUGUGACGAAGCGUGUGUGACGGUAAUGGGUAAAGAAGCACCGGCUAACUACGUG